AUAACUAAUCCUAUAUAAGCCAACUAAUGCUAAAGAUUUUUGGAACCUCAAAUUAGAGUUCAUAUUUGGAAUAUAAGGAUUUUUGUUCUUUGAUCAUUUAGCGUUUGUUUUAGACAACAGAUAUUAUAUUGUACUUAGUAACAUUUGAAUCUUUGAAAUGUUGCACAUGCUCGAAUUUGUCUGAGAUGAGGCUCAAUUGCUCAAUUUCAAGGGCUUGAUUGAUUCAAAUUAAAAUAUGAGGGCCCAAUUGAUUGCCAAUAAAAUUUGAGGUUUGA
This 275-nucleotide unclassified non-coding RNA is filed under the name Hevea brasiliensis (rubber tree). Lineage: Eukaryota; Viridiplantae; Streptophyta; Magnoliopsida; Malpighiales; Euphorbiaceae. The record is from RNAcentral.